This 435-nucleotide long non-coding RNA is filed under the name Amphibalanus amphitrite. RNAcentral describes it as "uncharacterized LOC122368638". Lineage: Eukaryota; Metazoa; Arthropoda; Thecostraca; Balanomorpha; Balanidae. The record is from RNAcentral.
CCGAGCAAGCGUCCCAGUCCUCGAAGGUGACUCUGCGGAAGAACAGCUUCCGACAGAAACUUCGGAACAGAUUCAAGAACUGUCGAAAGCCACUGAGCAUUGAGCAACGCCGUCAUCGACACGGAAAGACGAGCCAGGGGCAUCGUCGUGAAAAAGCGUGCGGCAGCUGAAGAGGGGAUGCCGGGGAUGUUUCCCAAAACGAAGAAGUCGAAGCUAGACAUCUGCACCGAAACCGCCAAGUUCAGUGCCAAGCUAAAGCACGCCGAUGUCACUCACAAGACAUCUGUUCUCAAAGAUUCCUUCGAGGUUCGGCGGAUAUGCCUCACGAGCAACCGAAACCGGAAGACUGGCGAGGAGAUGAAGGAGAUAUUCCCGGAUAUGUACAGCGAAGCUGCCGUGUGGACUGACUUGGGAAUGAUCAUGGGGCUCGAGGAG